AAAAAGGACCACAACCCAUAUAUCGGAUUUGGAAGCAGGCCUCUUGAUGAUUCCAAGAAAACAACAGAUGUUAUUUUAGAGGCAUUAAAUGACACAGGACAAAGAGGAAUAAUUGACCAGGGUUGGGGAGAUCUAGGGCACUUUGCAGAAGUUACUGAGAAUUUUCCUCCUGGAAGACUGCCCUCAUGAUUGGUUGUUUCCCCAAUGUUCAGCUGUGUGUCCAAUGACCAUAGUGCCGUUCUUGGAGAUCAAUUCUUUUGGGGUGAUAGAAUACAUCAGAGAGGGCUUGGACGUGCACCAAUACCAAUAUCAGAGCUCAGUGUUGAGAAGUUUUCAAAUGCUAUCAGAUUCAUGCUCCAGCCAGAGGUACUCUUUUGGCAAGCAUCUAAUUCUACAUUGUUACUCGUGUACUGCUUUUGAAAUUUGACCACCUAUUUAAUGUCAAGAUGUUAUAGCCGUUGCUUAAAUACUACUCAUUAGAACAUUUGUGAAAUCCCAUGCGAUGGAGUUAGCAAAACUGAUAGAAAACGAAGAUGGCGUUGCUGCUGCGGUCGAUGCAUUUCACCGGCAUUUACCUCCGGAGCUACCAUUGCCUACUGCAGCGUUGGAGGGAAUGAUCAUCCAAACCCUUUACAGUGGUUCUUUCUACAAAUUGGAAAA
RNA transcript from Hibiscus syriacus, 660 nucleotides. It is a transcript of the gene named sterol 3-beta-glucosyltransferase UGT80B1-like, with no coding region annotated. The transcript has 6 exons. NCBI's taxonomy places the organism in Eukaryota, Viridiplantae, Streptophyta, Magnoliopsida, Malvales, Malvaceae. The record is from RefSeq and is a predicted model, not a curated record.